This 21-nucleotide microRNA is filed under the name Arabidopsis lyrata. RNAcentral describes it as "aly-miR858-3p". Its record names the gene aly-miR858-3p. The record is from miRBase by way of RNAcentral. Lineage: Eukaryota; Viridiplantae; Streptophyta; Magnoliopsida; Brassicales; Brassicaceae.
GGUCGAGCAGACAACGAAGAU